GGGGCAUUCUGGGUUUAGUGUAUGGAGUCUCUCAAGCAGAAAGAAUGGUGGGGGUCUCAUGUUUCCUGGGGAACAGGAUCUGCUUGGGGCGAUGAAGAAACAUAUCUGAUGGGGGUGUUUUCUGGUAACUAUGAUCAUUAGGUUGGGGCCCCGUGGUUCACAUGAGAUCAUUUUAAUACUCGCGCCAUUUUUGUAGUAGAUGAGGAUUUCCUGGGCGUGAUCUAUGGGGGUCUCUCAAGCAAAAAGAAAGAAUGGUGGGGUGCUGUCUCGGGUGUGUGAAAUAUAUAAUAUCAAUAGGGUGUCUCGUUUUCCCACGGGAGAAGACAAUGUGCUUGUAGUUUUAAAAAACAUAUCUCAUGGGGGUGUUUUUUAGGUAACUAUAAUCAAUAGCGGGGGCCUCAUGGCUCCCGUGUCAAUAGCGGGGGCCCAUGGUUCACAUGAGAUCAUUUUAAUACCAUUUUUAUAGUAGAUGGGGGUUUCUUUGGACUGAUCCGUGGCGGGGUCUUUUUUAGCUAGCUCUAAUCAAUACUAGGGGCCUCAUGGUUUGUAUAAAAAAGACAAUGUGAUUGAGGCUUUAAAAAACAUAUCUGGCACUUAAACAUUCCUCCCCUAUUGUAUAAAAUGGUAUAAAAGGCAGGUGUCGACGGUAGGUUUCCAGAUCACUCGCAAAAAUCAGCGAACAACGUCAAGACAGAGAGUUUGAACACAGAGCCUGGAGACGACUACAAGACAUCGGACAUUGACAUGGGCUGUUGCAUGUACGUAAGUUUCAUAUUGUAUAUAAUUUAUCUAGGGUGUUUAGCCUGAAAGGUAAAUUUUUUUUUCUACUUACAGGAGAGCUGCAUCUUCACCAAUUGAAGUGAUCGAUCUGACUUCACCGCCACCAGUGGCCCUAGUGUCACCGGUCCAAAACCCAAUGCAGGGAUUUAAUGUGGACUUUAUAACGCCUCAAAACCAGGCACAAGGAUUUGCAGAGGGCGAUCGCUCUACGAUAGACGGGGGAGUUUGGGGACAGACUUCGGGAUUCGUGGAAAACACUUUAACACCGCCGGUCCAAAACCCACUGCAUUUUAUUGUGGGGUUUACAAGUCCAAACUCAAGUCACGGUAAGUUAAACAAAUGUGUG
Molecule: long non-coding RNA, 1126 nt
Organism: Dunckerocampus dactyliophorus (ringed pipefish)
Lineage: Eukaryota; Metazoa; Chordata; Actinopteri; Syngnathiformes; Syngnathidae
Exons: 3
Source: RefSeq, a predicted model, not a curated record